GAUGAAGAACGUAGCGAAAUGCGAUAAGUAAUGUGAAUUGCAGAAUUCAGUGAAUCACCGAAUCUUUGAACGCACAUUGCGCCCGUCAGUAUUCUGGCGGGCAUGCCUGUUCGAGCGUCAUUACGCCCCUCAAGUCCCCUGUGGACUUGGUGUUGGGGAUCGGCGAGGCUGGUUUUCCAGCACAGCCGUCCCUUAAAUUAAUUGGCGGUCUCGCCGUGGCCCUCCUCUGCGCAGUAGUAAAACACUCGCAACAGGAGCCCGGCGCGGUCCACUGCCGUAAAACCCCCCAACUUUUUAUAGUUGACCUCGAAUCAGGUAGGACUACCCGCUGAACUUAAGCAUAUCAAUAAGCGGAGGA
RNAcentral lists this unclassified non-coding RNA (358 nucleotides) under soil metagenome. RNAcentral's name for it is "partial contains 5.8S ribosomal RNA, internal transcribed spacer 2, and large subunit ribosomal RNA". The stretch from base 1 to 120 matches the Rfam family "5.8S ribosomal RNA", at positions 35 to 154 of the family's 154-position model. The record is from RNAcentral.